RNAcentral lists this ribosomal RNA (396 nucleotides) under uncultured bacterium. Its description in RNAcentral is "bacterial SSU rRNA". It matches the Rfam family "Bacterial small subunit ribosomal RNA", at positions 29 to 415 of the family's 1533-position model. The record is from RNAcentral.
AAUCAACGCUGGCGGCGUGCCUAACACAUGCAAGUCGAGCGCGAAAGGGGGGCAACUCCCAAGUAGAGCGGCGAACGGGUGAGUAACGCGUGGGUGAUCUACCUUCGAGUGGGGAAUAACAGCGGGAAACUGCUGCUAAUACCGCAUGACAUCCUCGAGUCGUAUCGGGGAUCAAAGCCGGGGACCGCAAGGCCUGGCGCUUGAAGAGGAGCCCGCGUCCGAUUAGCAGUUGGCGGGGUAAUGGCCCACCAAGGCGACGAUCGGUAGCCGGCCUGAGAGGGCGGACGGCCACACUGGAACUGAGACACGGCCCAGACUCCUACGGGAGGCAGCAGUGGGGAAUCUUGCGCAAUGGGCGAAAGCCUGACGCAGCGACGCCGCGUGAGGGAUGACGGC